GGACGAGCUACCCGGAGCCCAGCCAUUUGCACACUUCAUCCGACGCAGAAACGCGAAAAUGAGAGCGAAGCUGACCCCGGGAAAGGCUCUGGAUUAUAGGAUCGGCCGCACGUGGAGGAAAGCGGGGAGGUCAGCGAGAGGGAAGACCACCCUGUAAUCCCAAUGCAACCCCCGAAACUGAAACAGACGCCAGCGGCCACCCCCAGCUUUCCUGCCAGCUGUCCUCCAGCGCGAGCCGCUCGCCUACGGGGAGCUCAGUGAGAAGGGUGAGGGACUGAGUCCAGUGAGGCUCGGCCUCGGGGUCCAGCAGCUGGGUGACCUCCAGUGGUGGCUUGCACAUUUUACAGAUGAGAAAACCGAGGCUUGGAGUUGUUCAUUGAUUCUCCAGACCAAGUGGAAGGGGCAAAAUCUGAUUUGUCACCUGGCGGCCGUUGUGAAUUCCUCUUCUCUAGCCCCUGAUUUCUUCCACCGCAUCUCAUGACACGCGGUCCUCUCCCCGCAGCUUUGUCUUGUUUGGCCUCCCCACGGGGGAAAUACAGAAUGGAAUGUGGUUUUUGA
RNAcentral lists this long non-coding RNA (558 nucleotides) under Marmota monax (woodchuck). Lineage: Eukaryota; Metazoa; Chordata; Mammalia; Rodentia; Sciuridae. The record is from RNAcentral.